Molecule: ribosomal RNA, 1163 nt
Filed under: Clostridioides difficile
Lineage: Bacteria; Bacillati; Bacillota; Clostridia; Peptostreptococcales; Peptostreptococcaceae
Description: partial 23S ribosomal RNA
Rfam family: Bacterial large subunit ribosomal RNA
Source: RNAcentral
GGAUGUGAUGGGGAGCGAAAUUUAGUAGCGAAGUAGCUGAUUUCACACUGUCAAGAAAAGUCUCUAUCGAGGUUAAAGGUACCCGUACCGCAAACCGACACAGGUGGGUGAGGAGAGUAUCCUAAGGCCAGCGAGAGAACUGUUGUUAAGGAACUCGGCAAAAUGACCCCGUAACUUAGGGAUAAGGGGUGCCACCAUCAGGUGGCCGCAGAGAAUAGGCCCAAGCGACUGUUUACCAAAAACAUAGGUUUCUGCUAAGUCGCAAGACGAUGUAUAGGAGCUGACGCCUGCCCGGUGCUGGAAGGUUAAGGGGAUCUGUUAGAGCAAUCGAAGCAGUGAACUUAAGCCCCAGUAAACGGCGGCCGUAACUAUAACGGUCCUAAGGUAGCGAAAUUCCUUGUCGGGUAAGUUCCGACCCGCACGAAAGGCGUAACGAUUUGGGCACUGUCUCAACAACAGACUCGGUGAAAUUGUAAUUCCGGUGAAGAUGCCGGAUACCUGCGACAGGACGGAAAGACCCCAUGGAGCUUUACUGUAGCUUGACAUUGGGUCUUGGUACUACAUGUACAGGAUAGGUGGGAGGCUUUGAAACCAGGACGCCAGUUUUGGCGGAGCCAUCCUUGGGAUACCACCCUUGUAGUACUGGGACUCUAACCAUAGGCCAUGAAUCUGGUCUUGGGACACUGUCAGGUGGGCAGUUUGACUGGGGCGGUCGCCUCCCAAAAGGUAACGGAGGCGCUCAAAGGUUCUCUCAGUACGGUCGGAAAUCGUACGUAGAGUGUAAAGGCAAAAGAGAGCUUGAUUGCAAGACAUACAGGUCGAGCAAGGAUGAAAAUCGGACUUAGUGAUCCGGUGGUUCUGCGUGGAAGGGCCAUCGCUCAACGGAUAAAAGCUACCCUGGGGAUAACAGGCUUAUCUCCCCCAAGAGUCCACAUCGACGGGGAGGUUUGGCACCUCGAUGUCGGCUCAUCACAUCCUGGGGCUGUAGUAGGUCCCAAGGGUUGGGCUGUUCGCCCAUUAAAGUGGUACGCGAGCUGGGUUCAGAACGUCGUGAGACAGUUCGGUCCCUAUCCGUCGCAGGCGUAGGAAAUUUGAGAAGACCUGUCCUUAGUACGAGAGGACCGGGAUGGACGUACCUCUGGUGUACCAGUUGUCCUGCCAAG